Molecule: long non-coding RNA, 208 nt
Filed under: Elaeis guineensis (African oil palm)
Lineage: Eukaryota; Viridiplantae; Streptophyta; Magnoliopsida; Arecales; Arecaceae
Description: long non-coding RNA (EGUI_LNC040338)
Source: RNAcentral
CCCACAUUACCAUCGUCAUUUUCAUUCACUGUUUGCCAUUCAUCAACACCCCUAAUAGAUAUCGCUCUUACUAACUCCCUCUUCUUUCCAUCUUUUCUCAUCCCCAAUAUUCCUCAAUCCCUAUUCUCUCGUCCUCUCGAGAUUAAGAUUUUGAAGUUGUCUCCACCUCCACCACCGAUUGGCCGUCAAUGUUCCCUCAUGAUUGUUA